RNAcentral lists this ribosomal RNA (497 nucleotides) under uncultured bacterium. RNAcentral describes it as "partial 16S ribosomal RNA". It matches the Rfam family "Bacterial small subunit ribosomal RNA", at positions 28 to 507 of the family's 1533-position model. The record is from RNAcentral.
GAUGAACGCUGGCGGCGUGCCUAAUACAUGCAAGUCGAGCGAACAGACUAGUAGCUUUCUCCUCUGACGUUAGCGGCUUACGGGUGAGUAACACGUGGAUGACCUACCUAUAAGACUGGGAUAACUUCGGGAAACCGGAGCUAAUACCGGAUAAUAUAUUACACCGCAUGGUUCAAUCGUGAAAGACGGUUUUGCUGUCACUUAUAGAUGUAUCCGCGCCGCAUUAGCUAGUUGGUAAGGUAACGGCUUACCAAGGCAACGAUGCGUACCAGACCUGAGAGGGUCGACGGACAGACGAGAACUGAGACACGGUCCAGACACCUACGGGAGGCAGCAGUAGGGAAUCUUACGCAAUGGGGGAAAGCCUGACGGAGCAACGCCGCGGGAGGGAUGAAGGACUUAGGAUCGUAAAACUCUGUUAUUAGGGAAGAACAAAUGUGUAAGUAACAAUGCACGUAUUGACGGUACCUAAUCAGAAAGCCACGGCUAAAUACGUG